This 484-nucleotide ribosomal RNA is filed under the name uncultured bacterium. Its description in RNAcentral is "bacterial SSU rRNA". It matches the Rfam family "Bacterial small subunit ribosomal RNA", at positions 30 to 507 of the family's 1533-position model. The record is from RNAcentral.
AUUGAACGCUGGCGGCAUGCCUUACACAUGCAAGUCGAACGGCAGCACGGACUUCGGUCUGGUGGCGAGUGGCGAACGGGUGAGUAAUACAUCGGAACGUGCCUAGUAGUGGGGGAUAACUACUCGAAAGAGUGGCUAAUACCGCAUGAGAUCUAUGGAUGAAAGCAGGGGACCUUAGGGCCUUGUGCUACUGGAGCGGCCGAUGGCAGAUUAGGUAGUUGGUGGGAUAAAAGCUUACCAAGCCAACGAUCUGUAGCUGGUCUGAGAGGACGAUCAGCCACACUGGGACUGAGACACGGCCCAGACUCCUACGGGAGGCAGCAGUGGGGAAUUUUGGACAAUGGGCGCAAGCCUGAUCCAGCAAUGCCGCGUGCAGGAUGAAGGCCUUCGGGUUGUAAACUGCUUUUGUACGGAACGAAAAGGUGCUCUCUAAUACAGGGUGCUCAUGACGGUACCGUAAGAAUAAGCACCGGCUAACUACGUG